This 464-nucleotide ribosomal RNA is filed under the name uncultured bacterium. Its description in RNAcentral is "partial 16S ribosomal RNA". It matches the Rfam family "Bacterial small subunit ribosomal RNA", at positions 338 to 795 of the family's 1533-position model. The record is from RNAcentral.
CCUACGGGUGGCUGCAGUCGAGAAUCAUUCACAAUGGGGGAAACCCUGAUGGUGCGACGCCGCGUGGGGGAAUGAAGGUCUUCGGGUUGUAAAGAUCUGUUGACAGGGACGAAUAAGCAAUGCAAAUAGUUUUGUGUAUGACGGUACCUGUUUAGAAAGCUCCGGCUAACUACGUGCCAGCAGCCGCGGUAAUACGUAGGGAGCAAGCGUUGUCCGGAAUUACUGGGCGUAAAGGGCGCGUAGGUGGGCGCUUAAGUCAGGUGUGAAAACUCCGGGCUCAACCUGGAGACUGCACUUGAAACUGGGUGUCUUGAGGGCAGGAGAGGAAAGUGGAAUUCCUAGUGUAGCGGUGAAAUGCGUAGAUAUUAGGAGGAACACCAGUGGCGAAGGCGACUUUCUGGACUGUACCUGACGCUGAGGCGCGAAAGCGUGGGUAGCGAACGGGAUUAGAUACCCCAGUAGUC